AGGCAAGGUCACUAAGGCUGGUUUGAAGUUUCUGUGCCUUGAAAUUUCUUAUGUCAUGGAGUCACCUGACAUUCAGAUCAAAGGCCGACUCCGCUCUAUGUUUGAUGAUCCUUGCAGCAAGCACAGAUCAAGGUUCCUGUGACCUGCAGCAAUUGGAUUACAAGAUUAGAUCAAUUUGCAAAGUACACCAAGAUCACAGCAGUUGCCAUCCAUUAGCCGCUGAGACAAGUGAUGUCACCUGCCAAUACUGUAGAUUGAAUAACCAGGGAAGGCUGAGGAAUGCAAGUGAAUGUAAAAACCACCUGGAGGGAAGCAUUGCAGCAAGAAAGGAACAGCAAGUGCAGAGGCCUGAGGCAGAACCAGCAGGGAAAAUGCUUUGAGGUUCCAUGAAAACCUGGAAGAAAUAUUCCUGAGGACCAUCCAACACCAUUUCCCUGAGAGACAAGCUGUAAGUGCUGUUCUAGUUACAGAUCCGAGUCCCUGGUACAUUGAUAUCAAGUAAGGGUGCAUGCAGCUCAGAAGGCAGUUUCCAUUACACUGGACAAGAGUGUGGCUGCCUGAGUCCUAGAACUGCAGUGGCUUCUGCUGACAAUGUGAGGAGUAGCUGCCCUGUCCAGAGUGUGGCCCCGCACGCUGCCCCCUCCCCUGGAGGGACUGAAGAGAACAGCUUGGAGCAUGCCCUUCCCUUUCCCUUAUCUCGCCCACUAUGCUAAUGCUGCUCAUCCCUCAAGAUCCGAGUUAUUCCUCCUCAAUUCAAUACACACCAAUCAACUGCCC
RNAcentral lists this long non-coding RNA (777 nucleotides) under Homo sapiens (human). RNAcentral describes it as "non-protein coding lnc-SIAH2-1:4". Lineage: Eukaryota; Metazoa; Chordata; Mammalia; Primates; Hominidae. The record is from RNAcentral.